UUUUUAAAUAAAUUAAAUUAUAUAUUUUCAUUAAUUUUUUAUUCAAACGUUCUAAUGUUUUACCUGAACUACAAGUAACGCACAUGACCCUUGUGUCACAACAUAAUGACACAUUGUUGCAUUACAAAUUUAGACAAAGAGAAGAGAGAAACUGUGCCGCGCGCUCCUCAAACGAUCGGAUUGGACCGUGAUUCCAUUUUGGAGUUUCCCCCCUCCUGCGCUUUCUGAUCACCACCCUUAACCACGGCACUUCCUCCCCGUGCUCAAAAGAACGAUGCGAAAAGAAAGAGGGGAAAGUGCUCAUGUGACUCCCCGUGCCGUGAAACCGGGGCCCCUCGGGGCCACGUUCGGUAGAGAUGACACGAUUUACCGGGACAAAAGUCAUCCUAAAUCGGCGCUUUAGUUUUUGUGAAAACGCCAGGGAUUUGUCUGCCUGAUCCAAACAUACAGCAUUAGGGAGGAGGGGGGAUCAAACGCACACGCACGCGCUCUCAGGAUGGAGAGUUUGACCUCGUGCCACAAUUUCAUCCCAAACACAGCUUCUUCUUCUUCUUCUUCUUCUUCUUCUUUCUGCACCAAAGCGACGCGGGCGGAUCGGUAAGCGGGAGAGAAACGAUGCACGCGCCUGUUUUUAUGAAGAUCAUUAUUGGUAUUAUUAUUUACUGACUGUUGUUGUUGUUGUUGUUGCGAGCUCACAAGUUGCGCGGCACUCACCCUCCGUGCAGACCAGGAGCGUCCAGGCUAUCCAGAGGUCCGAGUUAUGGAACUUCACCAUGGCUCCUUCAACCGGUCCUCCGCUUCGGCCCGACGGAACCACGAUCUCAGCUCGGCUCACGGUUCCCCGGGCGACAAGUAACAGGUCCUCCCGGUGCCGGGAGACAUGGGCGCAGCCCGCCGCGGGGUCUCUUUACGCGCCGCGCGCCGGCGACGCUUCCCGAAAGACGGGGUGAAACGUUCCGAGUGAGGGGUGGAGGUAUGUGUCCAUCCAACGGGCGCGCUCCGCCCUUGUCUCUCAUGGACCCGUCCGCGCAAUUUGUCCACGCGUUUGAGGCGGAGGGGGUGGGGGUGAUGGGUGGGAGGGGGGUGAUGGGUGGAGAGGGGAAGGGGUGGGGGAGGGUGGGGGUGAGGGGACGCAACAGUCCACCUGCUGGCGCGCUAUAAAUACGCCCGACAGUCCCCGAAAGUGACUUGCAAAGUGCUCAGAAACUGUCCCUCGUCCCGUCGGCUCGGUGCGUCUCUCCCACGCGUCUCGCGGCGCUCCAUGGUGCCUCGUCUGCUCUGCCGCGGCGAGCAAAGCUCGCGGGGUUGGACGCGAGGCAACUUCCUGUUGAUUUUUGGGGGGGGGGGGCAUUUUUUCCCUUCAAAAUAAAAAAACCCUCGAGGCUGUCCCCGUCACAAGGUGGUAGGAGGAAAGGUUAAAGGUUACUGUUUAUUCUUAUUGAGGCGCGUCGGUGUCCGUCAGUCAGAGUUGAACCUCCGCGCCUUUCGAAAAGUCAUUUCUCCACAACAAAAACAGGAAAAAUCCAAGUGAACGUGUAACAUUUGUGAAAUCCUUAUUGUGAAAUGUCACUACAAGUUAUUAAAAAUCGAUCUCAAUCACUUUCAACAAUAACUGCAACAUUUCUCUUGCAUUCAUCGAUGAAAUAAAUCCGCUCCACUCCAGUGAAACCGGAGGGAUCGAUUAUACUCAGCCAGGGAUCAGCCAGAGGUACAGUAAACACACCUGCAACUAAACGUGCUUUUAUUUUGUAGUUAAACCCACCUGGGUUCCUGUUGUAGGUGGUGCGCCUGUGCGGCAUGACCGCGCUCACCAGCGGAUGAUUAAGACGGACCUGACUGUUGCUAGGAGACCGCUGACGCCAGACGUGCACGAGAGAAAGAGAGAGAGAGAGAGAGAGAGCACAAGGGGGGAGGAGGGGGGGGGGAGACAUUCAUGCCCCCCUGCGGUGCGACUCCACAACGACCGACGGAUUCGAAUUAUUUAUAGGGACGUGGUUUACGCAGAUACGUGGAUACAUUUGAACAUUGGGCUGCAAUAGUGAAUCAAUGGAAUAAUAGAAUUAGACACAAGGCUGCAGAGUGCUGCUCUGCGCAGAAUUGCAAAAAAAAAAGUAUUUUCUGCCUUCAUACUGGACUUUGAUGAUCAGUCCUUUGCAUAAUCUGCAGUGUGCACAUCAGGGCGGUAACGCUUUGUAACUGUGCCCCUUUUAUCUCAAUGAAUGAAGUCAUUGCAUGUGAUUGUGUAGCAUGUACUACACAUUUUUGCCGCAUAGGUGAUAGUUGAGAAAACCAUCUAGAGAUCAAAAGGUACAGAUUUAUCUUCCUCCAACCUGUUUUUUCAGACAAAGCGAAAUGAAAAGACGCGAUUGGGGCCGUGCCCCAAAUCCCUGCCUUCAUCGUUUGGCCCUGCAGAUGUUAACAGAUGUUAAUAAUUGUUUGGCCUUAAAUUGAGCUGAAGUUGGAUGAUCUUAAGGCUGCUUGCUUUUGUUGGAUUUUAUAGAAUAUGUUGCCUUUGUUUCUCGUUAUUUUUGGUUGAACAAAACGCUGGCUUUCCAAAUGUCUGUUUCAUUUGGCUUUUACGUUCCACCUUCUCAUUAAAGCUGUAAUAAAAAAAUAUUUGUAUUUUAUACAUGCUGCUUUUUUAGAUAUUCUCCCGAUUAAUCGUUUUGUUUAUAAAACAAACAUUCUCAAAAAGCCCAUCAAAACAUUCAGCACCAAAAGCAACAGCUUUAUUUGACAUGUUGUCCAAAACCCAAAUAAAUCAAUUUCCUGUCCCACCCGCCUGGCAGCUGCGCUGAGGGCCGGAGAGGGCUGCUGAUGGUGCUGCUGAUGGUGCCAUGUGGGCGGGCACAGUGGCGUCCGUCUCCAUGGCAGACUUCGGCCUUUGGAGGGAAAUGUGCUCACCCUCUCGGAUGGAGGACGUCUGUCUGGGACUUUGGUGUCUUCAGCGUUUAACUUAGUGUUCUAAGUCGAGUUAACGUGUAGUUAGUGCAGAAAGUGUUUACUUCCGACUUUAUUUUGGUAAUGAAUACUAAUUGUUUAUGGAUUUCCCUUCCUUUUUCUCUCUCUCUCUGCGUCUUCAACGUCACGCCACCUUCAACAGCGUGACGCUUUUUAAUGUGGGAUGAUAUCGGCUGUUUCCUUUUGCCUGAAGCUGAAUGAACGAUGGCCUUUGUGUUUGUACGAAGAGUGAAAAAUGUGUCCUUCCGAAAAUAGACACUUUGAAUCUCAUAAAUGAUCGGUCGGGAUGCGACCUGUUCUUUCUCGUCGGACCUUUUCGUCUUUGCCAGACGUUCCCUGUGUUGCUUUAUUAAUUAACCGGAUUCUGCCAGUUGAAGAUUUAACCUGGCCAAUGGAACCGAUCUUGAUGAGCCUCCUCCUUCUUCACCUCCUCUUCACUCGCAGCCGCACGCAUGCAAAAGAAACAGAUGGUAAACAGGUUUGAAUCACAGAUUCAAAGGGAAUCAACCGGCACCGUGGCCGAUUCUGAGCAGCAGGAACUAUAUAGUCGUUUUUUUGAAGAAGGAAAGCCUGAAGUGUGUAUAUUGUUUGAGUGGAGUUUCUUAUAUUGAGGAUAUAUUAUAUUGGUAUAUAUUUUCCCGUUCAUAUUGACGUCAUGUUUGCAGCAGCUGAUUAGGCCCCAGUGCACAGUUUUCCGAAAAGAACUUAAGAUCUCCUGUCAUUCGCGUUAGGAAAUCGAAAUCGACGUGUCUGCAGCUCGAUUGCGGCUUAGAAAUGUACGUCACCGAAGGAACGCCGCUGCAGACAUUAAGUUUGAUUACUUUUUAGUUCAACUAAAAGUAACCGAGAAAGUGGCGGCCAUUUUGCUUGGCUUCCUGGGGGGGUUUCCCUUUUGUUUUGGGCCAAACAAACGCACACAAACACACUUCAGUUUGGUGGGGAUGUUUUUAUGGAGCUUCUGGUCACAUGGAGCUGCAAUGUAAUGUUCAUUGCAUUUGCUGUUGCUGCUUUUUUUCUUUUUGGUCACAAUUCAUCGGGCCUUUUUUUUUUUCACGGCUCGUGAGAAUUAUGAUUUAUUGCUUUGUUUUUUUGCUUUCGGUCAUCCGUUGUUUUUAACAAACUUUCUAAAGACAAAACUGACAAGUUAACGGUAUUUUUAGUCCCACGUUUACUCACCUUAUUACAAGGAGACACUGUAACUUGCAGUUUUUAAUAAUAAAACUACUGUACUUGAGUAUUCCCACCUUACACAGCGUUGGACUUUACUGCAUUACGUUUACGACGGGAAAACUGUUUUACUCCGACACUUACGUGAGUUUUAUAUUGACACCAUAACAGUUCAAAUGUAUUAUGAAACAUCGCUCGUACUCUUCAAUCAUCCAUCGUCAAACGGCCCAUCCUGCACACUGGGGGACGGGAGUCGAUCCCAGCCAGCUUCCAGAUCUUCAAUUAUAAAUCUUAAAAAUGAAUAAAACACUG
Molecule: long non-coding RNA, 4440 nt
Organism: Gasterosteus aculeatus aculeatus (three-spined stickleback)
Lineage: Eukaryota; Metazoa; Chordata; Actinopteri; Perciformes; Gasterosteidae
Source: Ensembl